Neofelis nebulosa (Clouded leopard) is the source of this 1093-nucleotide long non-coding RNA. RefSeq lists it as uncharacterized. The transcript has 3 exons. The record is from RefSeq and is a predicted model, not a curated record. NCBI's taxonomy places the organism in Eukaryota, Metazoa, Chordata, Mammalia, Carnivora, Felidae.
GCUAUCUCCCAUCUACACCAACGAUGUGCAAUGUAUAGCCUACUUCUGCUUCCACUGGGUAGAGCCUGCGUGUGUUUGGAGAAUUUGGUAAUUAUGCACAGCUAAUUAAUUUAUCCUCCCUUUAUUCAUAUGUGGACACAAAUAAAAAGACGUGAAGAGAAAGAGUGAUGGGCGGCAUUGGCUAUCUGAUAAUAGAUUAUUACACAGCAUUUACUUCUCCGAAUUAGAGAGCAGUCACAACAAAAAAGUGAUAGUGUCAUGCCUCAUUCAAUCAUUCCUUAACUUCGGGUGAUGUACAGUCUUUAAUCCCUAAUGCACAUAACUUUAUUUUUUUUCGCAGGCAUUUCUGAUAGGCACAACCCUCUGGUAGCAGAAAGAGAUCGCUAGGCUAGGCUCGUACUCAGAAGUGAAGAGUGCAAAAUAACUGGAAAGAAGGUGACCCAAGCCUUCCUUCUGAUGUUAGCUUCUUAUGACCCGGAGAAGAAAGAAAGCGUGCUUGUCACAAACGCUGUCUCUAGCACAGUGCCUGCCACGUGGUAGACAUGAAUUACCUGCCCGAUGGAUGAAUAUACGGGAAGAGCAAAAGUUCGACACCUGCCAGAUUUGGUUUUAAUUACCGUUAGUGACCCAGACCUGGAAUGCGUAAGUUAUCGUCAAAGGCCAGUAUUCGCAGGGCUGGGCGCUCCCUAGCUGUACUCUGUCUGCCUGUUUGUUGCCCCACUAAGUCACUUGGACAAUAGAAGUGGUGGCCUAGCAAGUGAAAUAGCUUGUGCGAAGGCAGUUUAUACAGCCCCUACUGCUCAGAUACUCAGUGAAGGACAACCUGUCACCUUCCAGACACUCUUGGUUCCAGCUGCUAGCCCACGUGUGUUCGGGCUCCACCUCCUCACCACAUUGUUCUGCCGUCACACUUCAGAUUUGUCCCUCCCUCUCCCCUUUCAGAAGAUGAGCUCCUUGAAGACAAGAACCAAGUCGUACCUUGGUUUCCUCUCUCCUUGGCACAGCGAGUCCUCCCUAUGUGUCUACUGAAGGAAUUAAAACAAGGCUGUGGGGCAUGCUGGCAAAAUCGUAUUUUGAGAUCUUCCUGGUUAAA